GUGCUCGCUUCGGCAGCACAUAUACUAAAAUUGGAACGAUACAGAGAUUAGCACGGCCCCUGCGCAAGGAUGACACGCAAACUCGUGAACCAUUCCAUAUUUUU
Molecule: small nuclear RNA, 104 nt
Organism: Loxodonta africana (African savanna elephant)
Lineage: Eukaryota; Metazoa; Chordata; Mammalia; Proboscidea; Elephantidae
Source: Ensembl